CCACUGAUAGAGCACCUGGGGAAAGGAUCUGUUCAGCCCUGGGAGCACAGGUGAAGGCAAUUCAUGUGUGUGACCGGAAGGGUUGUACCUCUCUUAGACCUUCUUUAAGGGCUGACUGCCACUGGGAAGGACAUUUGGUUGGAGAUUCGUCCUUGGUGAAGUUCUCCCCUGCGAACCUGGAAUCUUCUGAUACAGUUUUCCAAGAAACCUCAAUUACCCCACUUGACAGAGUCAGACCCUUUUCCAGCAAAUGAACAUGAGACACUAUCUUUGGGAAAAUGUUGUUCUAUCCUGCAAAAGGUUUUCAAUGGCAAGAACGCCUCAAGGAUGGAAAGCCCAACAGGAGCUGAAGCAAGCACUCUGGGGAAAACUGAAGUUUCAAAACCAGAACAUCUAUCCUCUGACAAAUCUGCUGAACUGUGGAGCCUUAUUUCCUGAGUUCCAGGUAUUUCUUUUGGACUAGACACAGUAACACUUGUACAUCAUUCUGAGUCACUGCCUGUGCAUAUGUGUGCGUUACAUCCAUUUUCUCCUGC
Gallus gallus (chicken) is the source of this 536-nucleotide long non-coding RNA. The record is from Ensembl. Lineage: Eukaryota; Metazoa; Chordata; Aves; Galliformes; Phasianidae.